This 72-nucleotide transfer RNA is filed under the name Camelus bactrianus (Bactrian camel). It matches the Rfam family "tRNA". Rfam says of the family: Transfer RNA (tRNA) molecules are approximately 80 nucleotides in length. Lineage: Eukaryota; Metazoa; Chordata; Mammalia; Artiodactyla; Camelidae. The record is from Rfam by way of RNAcentral. RNAcentral also lists the same sequence under 2 other names.
GAGGGGAUAGCUCAGUGGUAGAGUAUGUGCUUAGCAUGCACAAGGUCCUGGGUUUAAUUCCUGGUACCUCCU